Molecule: RNA transcript, 2954 nt
Organism: Nycticebus coucang (slow loris)
Lineage: Eukaryota; Metazoa; Chordata; Mammalia; Primates; Lorisidae
Gene name: syntaxin-5-like
Exons: 1
Source: RefSeq, a predicted model, not a curated record
GGGAGGAAGCGGGGCCCUUUCUGCUGUGGGGCCUGCCCCUGGAUCUGCGAAUGCCUUGGGCGUGAAAGACCGCACCAAGUGAAAGGGCCCGAGGAUUUUGCUGGUUAGCAGGAGAGUUUGUGGGGAAAGAAGCUGCCUGGGGAAUGACACUGUCCCCUCCACAACAGUCCGAGGUUAUGCGUCUCAAUGAUCCCGUGGAAACGCUACAGGUCUAAGAACACGGAUCAGGGUGUCUACCUGGGUCUCUCAAAGACACAGGUCCUGUCCCCUGCAACUGCUGGUAGGUCCUGUCCCCUGCAACUGCAUCGCCCCUCUGCCCCCCUCAGUGGCCCUGGUCCCUCCCCUUCCGGACACCAUGUCCUGCAGGGAUCGGACCCAGGAGUUCCUGUCUGCCUGCAAGUCGCUGCAGAGCCAUCAGAAUGGAAUCCAAACAAAUAACCCUGCUCUACGUGCGGUCGGACAGCGCAGUGAAUUCACUGUCAUGGCUAAGCGCAUUGGCAAAGACCUUAGCAACACAUUUGCCAAGCUGGAGAAGCUGACAAUCUUGGCAAAGCGCAAGUCCCUCUUUGAUGAUACAGCAGUGGAAAUUGAAGAACUAACAUAUAUCAUCAAACAGGACAUCAAUAGCCUCAACAAACAAAUUGCUCAACUUCAGGAUUUCGUGAGAGCCAAGGGCAGCCAGAGUGGCCGGCACCUGCAAACACAUUCCAACACCAUUGUGGUCUCUUUGCAGUCAAAACUGGCUUCCAUGUCCAAUGACUUCAAAUCAGUUUUAGAAGUGAGGACAGAGAACCUGAAGCAGCAGAGGAGUCGGAGGGAGCAGUUCUCUCGGGCGCCUGUAUCAGCCUUGACUCUCGCCCCCAACCACCUGGGGGGUGGCGCUGUGGUUUUGGGGGCAGAGUCCCGUGCCUCCAGGGAUGUGGCCAUUGACAUGAUGGAUUCUCGGACCAGCCAGCAGCUGCAGCUCAUUGAUGAGCAGGAUUCCUACAUUCAGAGUCGUGCAGACACCAUGCAAAACAUUGAGUCUACAAUUGUUGAGCUGGGCUCCAUCUUUCAACAGUUGGCACACAUGGUUAAGGAACAGGUAGAAACCAUUCAGAGGAUCGACGAGAACGUGCUAGGAGCCCAGCUGGAUGUUGAGGCCGCCCAUUCAGAGAUCCUCAAGUACUUCCAGUCAGUCACCUCCAACCGGUGGCUCAUGGUCAAAAUCUUCCUCAUCCUCAUUGUCUUCAUCAUCUUUGUGGUCUUCCUUGCCUGAACCCUAUUCACUCUGAGGCACUCCGUGGGGGGUUGGAGCCCUCCUGGAAAGGCAGGUGGCCACUACUGCCACUGAGCCUGUGCAGGGUACUUGGAAGAAAGGCCCUGUUUCCCUGGAACCGCUAGGAAUGGCCACUGCCCCAAUCUCCCACUCCUUGCCUCUGGCCAUCCUGUCCUCCCUCACCACCCUCAGGCCCAUGAAACACACAAAGUUCUGGAUUUCAACUCUUCUGUGAAGUGGCUGGAAGAGAGCAGAGGCCAGCUGGGGGCCAGUAGGGGAGGUUGUCUCCACUAGGAAAUUUCUAUAAAUCCUCCAGCCUGUCCGGAAGGAAACUUUGCAGCAAGGAGAAAUGAUGCCCUUGCCCCCUUCCUUUGAGUGAGGAGAGGAAGCAAAACUGGCCCAGGGACCAACUUUCCCAUCUGGGUUAUAACUUGACCUCUUUUCUUCUUCCGCUUUUUACCAUGUGAGGCAGGGGGGCCUGAGCCCUUCAGCUGCUGCCUGCACAACCCUUGACACUGGCUGCUGGUGACUCAAUCUGCCAAAUAUACUGCAGCCCAUUUUCUCCCAAUUACAGCAAGACUGUCAGCCUCGCUAGCCAUGUCAUCAUUUCUUGGUGGUUGCAUCGAAGGGCCUAGGCAGCAAGUGGAGUGAGCCCACUGCCCAGUACAAGAACUGAAAGGGUUGGGCUAAUUGCUCUCAGGGACCCCACUGCUGACCAAGUCAGCUUUGGGCUCUGUACACACAGCUGCCCCCAAAUGGGAUAACCCAAGUUCAACAACACCUCAUUAGUGUGGAAACUUCCUUGCAAAUGCGGGAUCCCAUCAGAGUGAGUCCCUGAUUGAUGGCAACUUUCAAGACUAUCUCAAGUGGUGUUUGGACCCAUUUCAUCUGUAUUCUCUAACCAAUUGGCCCUAAUUUUUCCUUAAGCCAAGUGAGGCAAGAGCUCUGCCUACUGCCAGGAAAAGAAGGGAAAGUGAAGAAUUUGUUCCCCGUUCAUCUGAGGCUCUUGGUUCCAUCUAAGUCCCUCACCAAAUCCAAGCCAGUAACAGAAGAGUGGAGGAGAGACCUGCCUGGUAUACCCUUUCCCCAGGGAGAUUAACAUGUUUCUUUGUCCUUCCUGAUCAGAACCCACAGAUUCACCAUUCUGAGGUCACUUGAAUCCACCUACCUCACACAUACCAAGGGAUGUUCAAUCUAGAGAACAAUUACUGUUCUCCAGAGCUGGUCUUGAGUGUGUGUGUGUGGGGGAAGGGGGGGCGUGUCUCGGAGAGUCCAUAGCUUCAGCAUUUUAUAAUUUCCUAUUUCCUUGGUGCCUCUUCAGCAACUGGUCUACAACUACUGGCAUCUCUGCUCCAUUAACACAGGAUGGGUUGGGUCUGUGAAGAUAAUGCUGGUCAAAGCCCUGACAGAUGCCAUUUCUUUUUCUUUUUUUUAGAGAGAGUUUCAUUUUGUUGCCCUUGGUAGAGUGCUGUGGCGUCACAGCUGACAGCAACCUCCAGCUUUUGGGCUUAGGCAAUUCUUUUGCCUCAGCCUCCUGAGUAGCUGGGACUACCAUAACGCCCAGCUAUUUUUUUGUUGCAGUUUCGCUGGGGUCGGGUUCAAACCCACCCCUCUGGGUACAUGGGGUCUGCACCCUACUCGCUGAGCCACAGGCACCGCCCAACAGAUGCCAUUUCAUUUGACUCCCCAACUCUUG